GAAUAUGAAGCAAUAUAUUGCAAUUAGUUUCGACCUAAUAUUAGGGGAAAUUUCCCCCUUAUUCU
This 65-nucleotide transfer RNA is filed under the name Hylemya variata. RNAcentral's name for it is "tRNA-Arg". Lineage: Eukaryota; Metazoa; Arthropoda; Insecta; Diptera; Anthomyiidae. The record is from RNAcentral.